UUCCGGUUGAUCCCGCCGGACCUGACUGCUAUCGGAUUGAUACUAAGCCAUGCGAGUCUUUGUAGUAAUACAAGGCAGACGGCUCAGUAACGCGUAGUCAAUCUAACCUAUAGAUGGGGAUAACCUCGGGAAACUGAGAAUAAUACCCAAUAGGUCAUUAUGCCUGGAAUGGUUUAUGACUUAAAUGAUUUUUCGCUGUAGGAUGAGACUGCGGUCUAUCAGCUUGUUGGUGAGGUAAUGGCCCACCAAGGCUAUAACAGAUACGGGCUCUGAGAGGAGAAGCCCGGAGAUGGGUACUGAGACACGGACCCAGGCCCUAUGGGGCGCAGCAGGCGAGAAAACUUUGCAAUGUGCGAAAGCACGACAAGGUUAAUCCGAGUGUUUUCUGCUAAAGAAAUCUUUUGUCAGUCUUAGAACCACUAACGAAUAAGGGGUGGGCAAGUUCUGGUGUCAGCCGCCGCGGUAAAACCAGCACCUCAAGUGGUCAGGAGGAUUAUUGGGCCUAAAGCAUCCGUAGCCUGCUUUGUAAGUUUUCGGUUAAAUCCAUAUGCUCAACAUAUGGGCUGCCGGGAAUACUGCACAGCUAGGGAGUGGGAGAGGUAGACGGUACUCGGUAGGUAGGGGUAAAAUCCUUUGAUCUAUUGACGACCACCUGUGGCGAAGGCGGUCUACCAGAACACGUUCGACGGUGAGGGAUGAAAGCUGGGGGAGCAAACCGGAUUAGAUACCCGGGUAGUCCCAGCUGUAAACUAUGCAAACUCGGUGAUGCAUUGGCUUGUAGCCAGUGCAGUGCCGCAGGG
Molecule: ribosomal RNA, 800 nt
Filed under: uncultured crenarchaeote
Lineage: Archaea; Thermoproteati; Thermoproteota
Description: bacterial SSU rRNA
Rfam family: Archaeal small subunit ribosomal RNA
Source: RNAcentral